Molecule: long non-coding RNA, 7643 nt
Organism: Canis lupus familiaris (dog)
Lineage: Eukaryota; Metazoa; Chordata; Mammalia; Carnivora; Canidae
Exons: 3
Source: RefSeq, a predicted model, not a curated record
UAUGAGUAGAGACUGAAGUAGCACCGUAUGUUAAUAGUACUUCAGUUAAAAAAAGAAGCAUAAAAACUGAAGCAUUAUACUGAAAAGAAGGGGAAAAAAGAAAAGAAGAAAAAGAAGGAAGAAAAGAAUGAGGGAGGGAGCAAGAGGAAGGGAAGAGGGAAAGAAGGAAAGAAAGAAAGAGAGAGGAAGGAAGAGGGGAGGAAGAGAGGAAAGAAGGGAGGGAGGGCUGAGCAAGCAAAACAAUAGGAGAAACAACCUAAUGGGUCUUCACAGCAGACAGGUGAGCGAGGCCAGGCUUUUGUUUAGAGAGAAAGCUCAUAUGGUGCAGAAGACAGCAAACUUGGUUUGUGAAGUCAUCAUCCCCCCAGGGGCUUUGUUGUGCCUGGUUUUAGGAGAGGCCCAAGAGGGCUCAACGAAGCACAACUAAUAAUAGAAUUAAGAAAAUGAUAGCAAUUUGGGUUAUUUAGCCUAAAAGAAAUGAAGGUUUAAAAAUUGUCUUAAGAGGUUCUAGAUGAAAACACUGACCAAUUGCAAGCCAUUUUCACAGAGGCUAGAAGAAGAAAUGGCCUUAGAUUGAUGAAGAGAGCUUGAAGAAAAGAUCCUCGCCAGGGAGGCUGAUGAUAGCUUGGCAUGGACCGGUAGUGGGCUUGCUCAGCCCUGGGAGGACUGAAUAGAAGAAACACCAUCUGUCCUAGAAGAUCCAGGGAGACUUUCCAGAAGGUUCCUUGAAGUUCCAAUUCUGUGAUGUCUCGAUGAAGGUAUAAACUCACCUAAUCCAUUCCUGAAUGAGCUAUCCUGGAACUCGAAGUGUCUGUGUUGUUGGCCAGGACUGGUCUUGGGAGAGCUGGUGGCCAUCUGUGUGAUGGGAGGGCGGGCUGCCAAAAUACCAUUCCUACCGCUGAGUCAUGCUGUCUGAAAUUCUACCAGGUGACAAUCAUUCUUUGGUCAUCAAGAGCCCAAUGGAGUGCUGAAAAUUCUGAUGUGCAUUCUACACAGCUCCUUAGAAGGGUCCUCACAGGAGGCAAGAUGGAUCAUGUGGCCACCUUCUCUCCUUCCUUGCUUCGUUCCCUUCUGGCCUUGACUCCUGUUUCCUGGGAUCACUCUCCAGAAUAAGCUUCCUUUACAAAAGCCCUUGUCAUAAGUUCUGCUUUCUGUGAGGAACCAUGCUAGACACUAGAGUAAUGUGCUAGAAUUAAGACAUGAAUAUAGAUUGCUAAGGGAUUAUUUGAGUUGUAUAUCUCUAUGAGUGGGGUUCAAAGAGAAGUUUGGGAAGCACUAGACCAGAUGUCUGUUGGAAUCACUGCAUGUAAAAUGAGAAUUGUCAGGUCCCCAAUCUAUUCUAACAGGUUUAUGGGUAUCUGAGUCUAACCAUGAAGAACAGUAGAAGAUUCCCAAGCCUUGUCAAGCCUGCUCAACACCGUGAGUAUGUAUGACAUCCAGAAGAAGCAGAGAGCAAAACAAAACAAAACAUUUUCACAGACAUGUGAAGAUCCCACAAUCUUGGGAGUCUUCUGCACUAUUUCUGGGUCUAAUUAUAAAACUGCAAAUGAUGCUGCCCUCCUCCAAGGAAAUUGUUGACUUGACUCUAGGGCAUGGUCUCUGCCUACAGAUAAAGGUAGAGGAGACCUAGGAAGAGAGCCUCUUCGCUUUUCUCCUGUCCAUCCCUGGGAAGGGUGGCCUUUGCAUUAGCCAGAUUAUUGGCUGGAUGCAGGAUUCUGAAAUCUACUUAACUCCCUGUAGUCUCUCUGUACGUAUAGUGUCUAGGCCAGUGGUUCUCAAAAUGUGAUCCCUGGGCAAGACCAUCUUUUUCUGAAGGCACACUUUCUCCUGAGGUGGUAAGGGGACAGGGUUAGAAAUGCCAAUUCUCGGUUCCCUCCCCAAAUCUCUAGCAGUCUGUCCUGAUAGCUUUCCAGUGAUUCUGAUGCCCGCUUACAUUUGAGAACCGCUUCCUUGGGCUUUUUCCUUCUCACCCAGGCUUGUGUAAGCUUUGGGGGCCUUCAAUGUUGAUUUCACACUCCUUCCCAGAGAAUGGGCUCAGGAAACAAAAGAUGCCUUGAUUAGUCAGGAGGAGAAAAGAGGCUAGAACUGUGUAGGCAGCUCCCCAGCUUCUAAGCAGAUCAUAUUCUGGACUUUGGAAGUCAGCUGUUUGGAAUGUGAGCUGUUUUCCUAGGAAUGGUAGAAAGGUUCCCACGCCAGCACACAGGGCAUAUUUAAUCCUGAAUCUAGCUGAAAUACUGCUGUGUCACAAUGAAAAAGAGCAGAUCACAAUGCUCCAGUAGUAUUAGCAACCACUCAAACAGAAUAAAGUGAUAAAUGAAACACAGAAAUAGUAUUUUAUUUAUGCUCAUGUUGGUGAGUUAAGGAAAGGUGGAUUUGGAGGCAGAAGAAGAGGUAUAAACGGGGAUUUGUCAAGACUGAAGGAGUUGUUGGCUUUCCUCUUUAGAUUGUCAUGAUACUAAUUCCUUUAGUUCGAGUUUUCUUAAAUGUGGUUCUGGACUGUUACUUUUUUUUUUUUUUUUUUUUUUGGAAGGCAAGUUUCACACUAGGAGGGUGUAAAGAAUUCUGAGAAAGUUGGCAAGAGCUAAAAAGCAGAGUGGAAAGAGUAAGGGGAUUAAAGAGAAUGUGGGUGUGUUUUCUGUUAACAUGACCAUCAACAGAGACAGAAUUACCUUGAGUUGUGAGCAGUAAGAGAUGGAUGAGUCAGGAUUUUCUCCCUGACAAAAGAGGAAAGAAAGCAGACAAAAAUUGACCACACAGCUGGUAAGCCAAUUUUCAUUUUGAUAAAUAUUUACCAGUAGAUAGUUGUAUAAGAAAAAAAAACAACCUGGCCGCCUGUUUUGAGAACCUUCUCUCUCAUUGUAUUGCCUUGAGACAAUCACAUUUCAUGGCCCUUGUCCCCUCUCUGACCACCGAUGGGCAAAUGACCAGAAGCCUGACAGUGUCCACUGAUGUGGUGUCAGAAGGUGAUUUGGACCACUCCGCUGUCCUCCUUUCUCCUCCUAGACAUUUGAAAUAAGGAAUGCCCAGAACAUAUAUGUUCAGUCCGUGAUGGGAAGAGGUACAUGGCUAGCUGUGAUCACUUUACACGUUUUCAAAUCAAAUGCUUCUAGCUAGGCUUUCUGUGGUGGCUAAAAUACUUUCUUCCUGGACUCACUAUGCCUUUAUUAACCAUUCUAUUUUUGUAUCAUAUGAAUUAUCAUCACUGAUGGUUGAAUGGCUGGAUUUAGAGAAAUGUGGUAGCCCUAAUGGAAUUAAUUAAUUGAAUAAUAUUGCCUGACAAAUGGCUCUGUAUACCGAAGAGGGCUUGAGACUUAAUUACUGAUGUCAUUUAUCUGUCUAUUUGCACCCCAACAAUAAGCGACUCGUUUCUCAUUAACAUUGGGUCAUUUUCCAAAAGGAAGAAAAGAGGCCAAAAUAUCAGGAAGGGGGAAAAAAAAUCGAUGUCUUUGUUCCCCACCUCAUUAUCCUGAUAAAUCAUAACAGACUCUGUUAAUUAGAUGGGCAGCCUUAACUGGCUGACUCCUGUCCAACAAUUACCUCAGAAAGAAGCACCACUGGGAACAUUGCCUUCCCUUGGGAGGAGAUGAAAGGAAGUCUGUAACAAAAAAAAGGAUCUUUUCCCCAGCCAUGCUGGGGGGAUCACAGUUGUCAAGGCAGAUUUCUAGACCAAAGGGCGGGACCUGUUUCAGGGACAGCGCCUGUGCAUUAUGGCGACGUGGGGUAUCUGACACUGCCUUCCUAAUCUAAGGCUUAGGUAAUGGUGCUCAGUGCCUCCAACUCCCCCGGGGAGAUUAAAGCCUAAUUAAAACAGGGGAACAGGUGUAAGAGGGCCUGAUUUGAUCUGGCCAAAUUAAUUGCUGAGAUUGGGCUUGCAAUUGGUAACUGGAAACAGUGAAUUAACUAUCACCGGAAUACAGCUAAUCCCUUGGUCUCACCGAGACUGUGUAUAAAACAGACUGAACUUGCUGGGAACACAAACACAGAGGGAUUUGAAGUGAAGGUACGAAGCAUCCUUGUGUGGGAAAGCCUCGGCAAUGAGCCUAUGGCCACAGAGGGUGGCCAUACAUCCCAGACUGCCUGCCCGGGAUAGUGCUGGUUUGUGCCUGUUGUCCCUACAAAAUUGUUAAAAGUGCCCCCCUCCGUUCUCAGAAAAAAUGUCCUUGCUUGGACAAUAAAUUAAAUGAUCACUGUAUUUCAAUGUCAAUUUUAAGCUCCUUUUUUUUCUUUACCAGAAGAGUGGUUGAACAGCAUUCCCCCAAAAGGUAUCAAAGUCCUAACCCUCAAUACUUAUGAAAGUGAACUUAUUUGGAAUUUAGGGUCUCUGCAGAUGAUUAAGGUAAGAUGAGGUUAUUAGGGUGGCCUCUGAUCCAAUAUGACUGAUGUCCUUAGAAAAAGGGAUCCUGGGAUAUUUGGACACAGAGGCAUACAUGCCCAUAUGCAGAUUGCCAUGUGACGAUGGAGCCAGAGAUGGACAUGGUGCUUCUCCCAGACCAGCGGUGCCAAAGAUUGCCAGCAAACCCAGGAAAAGCCAAAAGGCAGGUCUGGAAUAAAUCCUUCCUCAUGGCCCUCAGAAGGAACAAACCCUGUGGACACCUCAAUCUAAGACUCCAGCCUUCUAGAGUUCUAGAACUUUGAAUCAGAACAUUUCUGUUGUUCUUAAGCCAUCCAUUUGUGGCAUUUUAUUAUGGCAGCCGUAGCAAACUGAUUUAAGUGGGCACUGGUUUCCAAGUGUCUGAAAACUCUCUCAUUGCUCUUAGUUUGUAUAGUUCACAGAAAUAAGCUGUGUUGGUGGCAAAGACCGGUACCAGGCUGGUGUGAGAAGUCAGUGAACCAACACUGGUUUCUCAGGCCCAGGUGCUGGGGAUGGAUGAAGGAGAAACAGACAUGGAUCCUGGCCUCCAGGAGCCAGCAGUUUGAUGGGAAGGGAGGUAAUGCAGGUGACCUCGUAUUUCCUUAGGUAGAUAUAAAUAUGUAUCGACUAUGCAGAGGAGGGAGGGAAGCACAUCCCUAGGCUGAAAAGAAAAUGCCUUUCGAGAAAGGGACAUCUAACUUGACCUGCUAUGCAAAGGUUACCUGGAUGAAAAAAAAUGAGGGAUUGCAGGAGCAUGUGUGAAGGCCCUUGGGCGAGAGGGAGCCGGAAAUGUACACCGCAUAUCCAGAGAAAUCCAACUGCAGAAGCAGAGAAACUGGAGAGGGUUGAGUUCCAGGUGAAGCCCAGUUCUUCAUCCCAGCCCUCAUCACCCACUUUAUCAGAGGUUUAAAGACACAUCAUGUUCGAGACCCUGUGCUAGGGACUGGGAGAUUCCAAUGGUGGAGACUAACGGAGUAAGCUGCUAACCAAGCAGUUGAUGGCCUAAAGCUGGGAGAACAGGUGGGAAAAGCCAGAGAGAACAAAGCCACCACUUCUGUCGGGAGAUUCAAUUCCUCUGAGGCAAUCCUGUGGAGGUGGAGGUGAUGGAUCAUCGCUGCUUGCCAGACGAGGAAAAACCUAGAACAUGUUCAUUUUAUCCAUGCACGUGUACCUGUACACAUAUAUGCACACACAUAUACACACCUGAAUUCAGGACAAAGAGCAAAAUCAAGGUCCACGCAUUUCUUAUUCAGCACUUCUUCCCCAAGGCAUCCACAGAGCAGCCACAGUUGGCAUCGUUAGGUUUUUCCAGACCUUCUCGCAGAAAACUCUGCCUGGAGUAUCGGGUGACAGAGGAACCACUGCUAUUUUGUUUGUUCUUCAAAUUCCAUAUUGUAAAUUCCAGCCAAAAAAACCAACGAAGUAAAGAAUUGGGAACCUUGCAAGUUCCCACCUGGAAACAGUGAAUAUAGGGAAUGGAUCCCUGAGGGUACAAUUACCUCUGAACAAUUGGGUGCUGAGCUGGACAAGGAUAUCUGGCUAGUGGAAUUUUUGUGCAAAAAUCUUUUAUCUUUGUUAGCUCAUGUAAACUCCAAGGCCAUUCACUGUGUCAAGACUAUUGACACUUAUCCUAGGUGUUUACUUUUCAAGGCUUUGUCUUUUAUAAAGCCACCCCAGCCUCAGGGUUAAGAAGAAAUCAGGUUCUCUACUCUCACCCCACCCCCUGCCUCUUGCUUUUACAGUAUCCACUGUGGCAGUCCAGGACAACAGGUGAGCUAGUAAACACUGAAGGUGUGUCCUGACUGUCCACUCAAAGCCAAGGUAGACUGGUGAUCCACUAACAUCUUCAACUGCUUGUACCGAGUGGUCAGAAACUCAGGAGGACAUGUCUGUGCCUUUCUACUGCUGUGUCUAAGCAGCAGAGGGGAAUUCUAUGCUGGGCUUUAGCAGCCUCAGGACCCUUGCAGCAUCCUCUGAACCUCCCUGCUCUCCAGCUUCCCACCCUGAGCUUUUUUUCUGUUGAAAGUGGCUGGGGGUGACGGGGGAAUGGUGCAUCCACUUGAGGCACACAACUCCCACGCACACCUCCCUCUGUUUCUGUGGGAGCUGAGAAGCUGGGGGCCGAGAAGGCUGGCUGGGAAGGAAAGGCUGGGACUGAUCCUGCAAAGAUGGGGCAGGAGGUGGUGCUUGUAAGCAGGGAGCUUUGGUUUUAAUGAAUAAAAUCUAAAAACCCCAAGUUCCCACCUGGGGACCUUGGGGUCAGUAGGUGGAAUCCAGUUUGGUCAAAGGGUAAUCAUUCUCAUCCUUUAACUGAAAACCUUCUCCCUCUCUCCCAACCCCCUAGCCCUAGAACAAUACUAUUUUCAAAAGGUUUGGUUUGGGCUUCACACGGUGCACUAGUUGUUGUGAGUGGCAAAGAAAAAAAAAAAAAAAGAGCAUUUUCCAUUUAAAAAAUGAGCCUCAAAUUCACUAGUUCUUCCUCAAGCCAAAAGCUUCUGACUUGCACUGGCUUCUCUCUAAUGGAUAAUGGGUAGUUUUUCAUACUUUGAAAAACACUGCUUUUUUUUUUUUUUUUUUUUUCCCCUCUCCGGUUGAGUAAGCUCUUGCAAGUGGGAUUAAACAAGAAACGCCAUUUCUCAUGGAAAUGGCUUUAUUUCCAUUAUACCCACACUGGCUUGUUUUCAGAGUGGCUCAGACGUGCUGGACAAUGUAUCCUGAAUUGAGGAAGAAAAGGGAGAUGGUUGAAACCUUUGCUUUGAGGGAAGAAACCCAGCAAAGAGAUCUAUUCAUUCGCAUUGACCUUGGAGAUAGAUAUCACGUAAUGCUACAGUUUAGGCCUAAUUAUUUGUGGAGGAGCAAGCAGGGCUCCUGUUCUGUGUUUUGUAGCCAUGGACCUCCCCUCUGCUGGGUGCCCCAGUAUCGGGUGCCGCUCACGAGCGGGCCGGGUGUGUUUGAUGGGUGCUGACACGGCCUGGUCACAUUCCCUCUCAACAGAGCUGUCCUUAGCAGCCAGCCUGGUGUCAUUGGUGAUGCCACAGAAUAACAUGUAUACCUGCCUGUAGGAUAACACCGGGUUUCUACCUGGUUCCCUUCUGAGAUACUUCCAGCCUGCAAGAGGAUCUGAUUGCACUUUAGAUUUACUUAGGUAGCCUUCACAAAUAUUGAUUCACGUUGAAACCUCCUAAAAGAAAUACACCUAGCUCCACCCCAGAUCAAUAUCACAGAAUCAUGUGGGGAUGGAUCCUGGGCAUGAUCAACAUUAAAAAAAAAAACAAAAACUCAGGUGGGUGCC